Molecule: ribosomal RNA, 429 nt
Filed under: bacterium
Lineage: Bacteria
Description: partial 16S ribosomal RNA
Rfam family: Bacterial small subunit ribosomal RNA
Source: RNAcentral
UAGGGAAUCUUCGGCAAUGGGGGCAACCCUGACCGAGCAACGCCGCGUGAGUGAAGAAGGUUUUCGGAUCGUAAAGCUCUGUUGUAAGAGAAGAACGUGUGUGAGAGUGGAAAGUUCACACAGUGACGGUAACUUACCAGAAAGGGACGGCUAACUACGUGCCAGCAGCCGCGGUAAUACGCAGGUCCCGAGCGUUGUCCGGAUUUAUUGGGCGUAAAGCGAGCGCAGGCGGUUUAAUAAGUCUGAAGUUAAAGGCAGUGGCUUAACCAUUGUUCGCUUUGGAAACUGUUAAACUUGAGUGCAGAAGGGGAGAGUGGAAUUCCAUGUGUAGCGGUGAAAUGCGUAGAUAUAUGGAGGAACACCGGUGGCGAAAGCGGCUCUCUGGUCUGUAACUGACGCUGAGGCUCGAAAGCGUGGGGAGCAAACAGG